Molecule: non-coding RNA, 6188 nt
Organism: Pantherophis guttatus
Lineage: Eukaryota; Metazoa; Chordata; Lepidosauria; Squamata; Colubridae
Source: RefSeq, a predicted model, not a curated record
UUCAUUGUUUGGUUUAUCUCCACAGGCGGUUGGCCCGAUCCACCUUGUUACUCAUUCCACUCUUUGGGAUUCACUACACAGUGUUUGCCUUUUAUCCAGAGAAUGUCAGCAAAAGGGAGCGCUUGGUUUUUGAACUGGGGCUUGGUUCCUUCCAGGGUUUCGUGGUCGCUGUGCUAUACUGCUUUUUGAAUGGGGAGGUGCAAUCCGAAAUCAAGAGAAAAUGGCGGAGCUGGAAAGUCAACCGUUAUUUUGCUGUGGAUUUCAAACACCGCCAUCCCUCCCUGGCAAGCAGCGGUGUCAACGGGGGGACUCAACUGUCCAUCUUGAGCAAGAGCAGCUCGCAGAUUCGGAUGUCCAGCGUCCAUGCCGAGAACUUGGCCACAUGAGCCCGUAAGACCCCGCUUCUUCUCCCACCGAUUAACCCUACUUUGGACACCACGAAAGGACCAUAUUUAGGCCUAAAUAUGAUGGCUUUCGGGGUAUUACUUCCGUCUGCCUUUUUUAAAAAUAAUAAUAAUAAUAAACAAAUCCACCUCCCUUUGAUGGAAAGUUUCUGGGGUUCUGAAGCUUGUCAUCUCUGAUGGGUGGAAAAGGAGCUCCACAAAGAGGUCCCAUCUAGGGGAACGAGGUCCUCCAGACCAAAAUCACCUCGAUACACCCGUUGUCCCAAGAGCUGAAACCCUCCCAUCACUUCCGUUCCUCAUUUCCCUGGUACCAUUGAUGAAUUUUUGGGGUCUCCAAGACGAGGGCCAUGAGUGAACAUCUCAUGAAGUUGGGGUGUCUCAUGUCCAAACGCUUCUGAUCCCAACAUCUUGGACCACCGGUGUCCUCUUUUGGGACCUAGAAUGUCAUGCACCGUAAUGGUUUCCACUUACCUUCGCUAUCAUUUUGGAACUGUAAGCAUGCAUGCACGCUUACUUUGCUCAUGCGCAGCACUUCUGCACAUGCUCAGAGCAUCCAUGAUGACGUCCAGGCAGCUGGGUGGAGCCUCCCGCCGCUACCGGUUCACCCAAACCAGUAGAAACCCACCACUGGUUAUGCAAACACUGAGCCAGGGGUGACCCCCCUCACCCCCCCCAAUGGUGGUGGGCAUUGCGGUCGCAGAGACGGAUCCUACCAGAAUUGGUUGAGAGCCCUCAUUCCUUAACCACCUCAUUCCUCAGAUGGAAAAUCCCCCAACCCUACAAGUGGAAGGUCUCCGAUUUUCCCCCUUUGAGGAAACUAUCUGAAUUAUUUUGUUUUGUUUCUUUCGUUAAGCUACGGAUCUUCUAAAAUGGCCAUCUCAGUACCAUAGAGUUAUAUUUUUUGAGACAGAUGGUUUUUUUUUCUUUCUUUCCUUGUUUUUUUUUUUUAAAAAUAGAACUAAUAUGGAGAUAGAUUAUAUGUAUUUCCCGACAUUAAGUGCCGAUUAAUUCCGGAGAUACUUUUUCUCCCAGACUUCUGACACGACCCCUUCCAUGGCUAACGAGUGACAGAAAAUAGGGUGAGGGGAGGGACUUCGAAGGGAGGAUUUGGGUUGACUAUCAAAAAGUGUGUGCGGCAUGUUAUCAAGGCAUGGUUCACCCCAAAAGGGCAGAUGGGUUAUGUAGUUGGAGGAGGAGAUUCAUUGGGGGGAUCUUAAGAGAGCCACCUGCCUUUUCUUCCUCCUUCCUUCCUUUUUUUUGUUUCCUUCCUUCUUUCCUUCCUCCCUCCCUCUCUUUUCUUUCUCUUUCCCUUUCAUUUUUAUCUUUUUUCCUUGCUUCCCUCCAUCUCUUCCUUUCUUCCUCCCUUCCUCCCCUUUCUUCCUUCCUUCUUCCCUUUUUUCUUUCCUUUCUCCUCCAUCCCUUUUUUCUUUUUUCCUCUCCCUCCCUCCCUUCCUUCUCUCCCUCCCUCUCCCUUCCUUUUUUGUUUCUUUCCUUCCUCUCCCUCUCUUCCUUCCUUCCUCCCUCCUUUCUCUUUCCCUUUCAUUUUUAUCUCUUUUCCUUCCUUCCUUCCCUCCCUCUCUUCCUUUCUCCCUCACUUUCUCUCCUUCCUUCCUUCCUUCCUUCCUCCUUUUUUCAUUUUUUCUUUCCUUUCUCCUCCAUCCCUUUUUUUCCUCUCCCUCCCUCCCUUCUCUCCCUCCCUCCCUCUCCCUUCCUUCCUUUUUUCCCUUCCUCUCCCUCUCUUCCUUCCUCCCUUUUCUCUUUCUCUUUCAUUUUUAUCUUUUUCCUUGCUUCCCUCCAUCUCUUCCUUUCUCCCUCUCCCUCCCUCCCUCUCUUCUUUCUCCCUCCUUUUCUCUCCUUCCUUCAUCCCUCCCUUUUUUCAUUUUUUUCUUUCUUUUCUCCUCCCCUCUUUUUUCUUUUUUCCUCUCCAUCCUUCCCUUCUCUCCAGUGGUGGGAUUCAGCCAGUUCGCAGCACUUCGGUUGUUAACUUUCUGAGCAGUUUGGUGAACUGAUUGUUGGAAGAAAUCAUUAGGGCAGAGAAGCGGUUGUUAAAUUAUUUCAAUCCCACCACUGCUUCUCUCCCUUCCUUCCUUCCUUCCUUCCUUCCUUCCUUCCUUCCUUCCUUCCUUCCUUUCCUUUCCUUUCCUUUCCUUUCCUUUCCUUUCCUUCCUCUCUCCCUCUUCCUCCCUCCCUCCCUUUCUUCCCCCUAUUUUGCACAGCUGGGGUAUUUUCUAUGAUUAGCCAUUAUUACUAGUAAAAAAAAAAAAGAGGGUGGAAAUUUUUUUAUUAAGGCUUGGAAGGAAGAAGUGGGUUCUUCUAACCCCCACCUUCAAUUCAGAGCCCCUUCUUUUGCGUAGCUGCUUUCAGCCGAACUCAACCAACGAUGUCAGUUUUUUUCCCCGUGAGACUCUUGUGUCAUGCACGACGUCUCCAGAGGACUUUUGUGGUGUUUCGUGGGCUGUGUGAGUCUCUCCUCCAUGUUUCAAGAUCCUCUCUAAUCGGUGUGACUUCAUAUGUGUGUGUUUGCGUGUGUGUGUGCAUACCUUAAAGAGGACUAUCCUAUUUUAUUAAAAUGGUAAGGAAUAAAUGCUCACCGCAGCUAAGAAAUGGAAGAAGAAAUUCUGCUUAAUAAAAGGUUUGGGGAAGGGAAAAGGGAAAAUGCUUAAGUUGCUUCCUACACAUUGAGUAGCGUGAGAUUCUUUGCACCUGCUCCUUCCACCCUGCAGUUUUGGGGCGGCUUUCUACUACAGGUAGUCUUUGACUUAUAACCACAACUGAGCCCAACAUUUCUGUGGCUAAGUGAGAAAUUUGUUAAGUGAGUUUUGCCCCAUUUUACAACCUUCCUUGCCACAGUUGUUAAGUGAGCCACUGUAGUUGUUGACAGUCAGUCACACGGUUGUUAUGUGAAUCUGGCUUCCCCUUCUGACUUUGUUUCUCAGAAGGUUGCAAAAGGGGAUCACAUGACCUCGGGAUGCUGCAGCCGUCAUAAAUACGAGACAGUUGCCAAGUGUCUGAAUUUUGGUCAUGGGAUCCUGGGGAUGCUGCAGCGGUCGUAAUUUUGAAAAAUGGUCAUAAGUCAUUUUUUUCAGUGCCGUUUUAACUUCGAACGGUCACUAAAUGAACUGUUACAAGUCAAGGACUACCUGUGUAAAGAAGGACAGGAUAAAAUGCCAUUUAACCAUUGUCACAUAAUUCUUUGGUUCUCCAGGUUUCUCUUGGAAGCAACUUAUCUCUCCUUAUAUAAGCCACAACCAAGGUUUUCAUUUUGGCUUACACUCCAACUCACUUGUAUAUUUGGUGUAGAAUCUGCAAUAAAAGGGGAUUUGAAUGAUGGACAGGCUGGGUUCUAAUUGUCCUGAGCUAUCUUGGCAAAGCUGUCAGUACCAGUGCUUUGAUAGUCUGCAUUCCUUCCUCUGUUGUGCAACUCCUUCCUUCCUUCCUUCCUUCCUUCCUUCCUUCCUUCCUUCCUUCCUUCCUUCCUUCCUUCCUCCCUUUUCCCUUUACUUCCUUUCCUUUCUCCUCCCUCCCUCUCUUUCCUUCUUUCCCUCUGUCUCUCUUUCCUCCCUCCCUCCCUAUCUUUCUCUCCUCUCCUCUUACCUAUUCCUUCCUUCCUCCUCCUUUCCUCUCCUUUCUUUUUUCUUUUCUUUCUCUUCUGUCUUUCUUUCCACCCUUUCCUCUCCUCUCCUCUUCCCUCCCUCCCCUUGCUGCCUUCCUUCCCCUCCCCUCUUCCUCCCCUCCCCUCUUUCUUCCACCCACUCUCCCUCCCUCCCUUUCAUUUAGAGAGCACCGAAAAAUACCCCCCCACCCAGAAGGAGAAAGCCAGAUAAGCUGUGAAUAACACCAGACAAACGAUCAAGCAGAAAACAAUACCUUAAUCAAGGAAUUAUUAAGGAGAAAAUAACAUUUCCACUAACAUUGAGAGGGCAAGCCACUGCUGUAGAUAAACGAAGAGGAAACCCCCUUCCUUUCUAGCCCUGAUGAUGUUACCUACUUGGGGAAUGAAAUGUCUGAAAGAAAACCACCAAACUCAGAGAUCAUCAAGGGCCCCACAGUCCUGAAAUUAAAAUAGUUUGGUGGCAAGAAACCGAGGACAAUUUCUGGGAAAGAUUGAAACCAAGUCCUUUCGAAUUUUCUGGUACAAUCCUCCACUAAAAUGCCUAAAAUUGUAGCAAGAAAUACAGACAACAUACUUUUAAAACACUUGUUACAAAUUAAGGGGAAAUGGACAAAACAGAUGAAUACAGGCAGUCCUCAACUUACAACCAUUCAUUUAGUGACUGUUCAAAGUUACCCCAGCACUGAAAAAAGGGACUUAUGACCAUUUUUCACACUUCUGACCAUUGCAGUUGCCCCCAAGGUCAAAAUUUGCUUGGCAACUGACUCAUAUUUAUGACUGUUUCCCCAGGGGUCACAUGAUCCCCUUUUGCAACCUUCUAACAAGCCACGUCAAUGGAGAAGUUAACUGCCGUGUGACUAACUUAACAAUUGCAGUGGUUCACUUAACAACCAUGGCAAAAAAGAUCGUAAAAUGGGGCAAAAUCCCCCCCAUCAGCCAUCUUGCUGAACAAUGGAAAUUUUGGGCUCAAUUGUGAUUGUAAGUGAAGAACUAUCCGUGUUGGAAAAUUAAAAAGUGAUGGAAGAAUGUACAUAUUGCACAUCUUUUUCCUAAAAGUUCCAUCUCUCUCCCUAAAAUCUCUUAAAAUUAGAGCAAAUUUAAAUCUAUAACUCUUGCUUGAGAGUAAAUCAUAUGGACUGAAUUCCAUUAGCUUCCGAAGGUCUUACUAGUAGACAAUUGUCACAGGAUUACAUACAGAUACUCCUUGUUUUACGACUACCAUUGAGGCCAAAAUUUAUGACACUUGAGCAGGGGAUUGGAUUAGAAAACCAGCUCUGAUAUUCUGUCAUUCAAAUACCCAGCAGGGCUGGACCAUCAGGCAAAGCUAAUCCAAAUUCAUAAUUUUAUACAAUUUUAUAAAGCAAGACAAUUGUUAAGUGACUUUUGCCCCAUUUUAUGACCUUUCUUGCCACAGUUGUUAAGCGAAUCAUCGCAGUUGUUAAGUUAGUCACACGGUUGUUAAGUGAAUCUGGCUUCCCCAUUGACUUUGCUUGUCAGAAGGUUGCAAAAGGGGAUCACAUGGCCCCCAGGAUGCUGCAACCGUCAUAAAUAUGAGUCAGUUGCCAAGCAUCCAAGUUUUGAUCACAUAUGUAUUCUUGGUAGUGCUGCAACAGUCGUUAAGUGUGAAAAAUGGUCAUAACUCACUUUUUUCAGCGCCGUUGUAAUUUCCAACGGUCACUAUAUCAACUGUUUGCAGAUCGAGCACUACCUGUAAUUAAUAAACCAGUGCCAAAUUGCUUUAGAGUAGGCCCACUGGGGGAGUUGGUUUACUUUGGAGUAACGGACUUAAGAUCCUAUGGACUGAUAUUUUUGAAUCCCAGUUUUACAACGUUUUGUGGUUGUGGGAAAAGUUCCCAGUUGCUCUUCUGCACAAAAACAUUUUGUUAUGUUUGUUUUCUCUUGACUGUCCAACAAAAUGAAUGUAUUUGCUGAAUGAAUGAGUCAAGCAUCUCUCUUUUUUUCAUUUGUCAGGCGGUAGAAACCUAAUGGCCAAGAUUUGCUUCUAAAGCUGAUGUAAAUAUCUCUUUUUGCGUUGAAACCGUGCUCUGUUUCUUCUUCUUUUUCCACUGUGAACUAUCUUUUGGAGUUUGAGGAUCUAUGUUAUUAAAAAAGAAAACAAAAAGCAAGUGUAAUUAUAACAAAGUUUAUUGAGAAUAAAAUAUUUGUUGUGA